CUCAUCAGUCUGCCGCGUACCGACACUGUGGAUUGUGAACAGGACGUCAGACACGGUGGUGCUUACGAGAAUUUUCGAAUAUUAUUUAAAGCGCCAUCUAUGGAGUCCCAAGUGGAAUCCAUGCUUGUGUCCCCGAGGUUCGAGAGCUGCUCAUUCUGGUCGUCCCUUGCAGUCGACUACCUAUCUCUUCGCAGUCACAAUCACUUUUAUGCCAAUUUCAAAUGAUAUAUGAUAAAAAGCUUCAUAGAAUGUUAAAGAAAACAUUAAUCAAAGAAGAAUUAUUGGCUUUCUACUUAACAGGAGCGUAGCGCGGGUGAAAUGUUUAGAAAACAGAAUGAACAGCACCUUAUCGGUUUGAUGAUCUCCUGCCGCCAAUAUGAAAUGUAAGCUACGCGUGCAAAGACGAGCAGACGCUUGUUAGGUAACGAGGAAUUAUACGAGGCGCCUACGAUCCAA
Molecule: long non-coding RNA, 456 nt
Organism: Danaus plexippus (monarch butterfly)
Lineage: Eukaryota; Metazoa; Arthropoda; Insecta; Lepidoptera; Nymphalidae
Exons: 4
Source: RefSeq, a predicted model, not a curated record